ACGAACGCUGGCGGCGUGCUUAACACAUGCAAGUCGAACGGAAAGGCCCUGCUUUUGUGGGGUGCUCGAGUGGCGAACGGGUGAGUAACACGUGAGUAACCUGCCCUUGACUUUGGGAUAACUUCAGGAAACUGGGGCUAAUACCGGAUAGGAGCUCCUGCUGCCUGGUGGGGGUUGGAAAGUUUCGGCGGUUGGGGAUGGACUCGCGGCUUAUCAGCUUGUUGGUGGGGUAGUGGCUUACCAAGGCUUUGACGGGUAGCCGGCCUGAGAGGGUGACCGGCCACAUUGGGACUGAGAUACGGCCCAGACUCCUACGGGAGGCAGCAGUGGGGAAUAUUGCACAAUGGGCGGAAGCCUGAUGCAGCAACGCCGCGUGCGGGAUGACGGCCUUCGGGUUGUAAACCGCUUUCGCCUGUGACGAAGCGUGAGUGACGGUAAUGGGUAAAGAAGCACCGGCUAACUACGU
This 466-nucleotide ribosomal RNA is filed under the name uncultured bacterium. RNAcentral's name for it is "partial 16S ribosomal RNA". It matches the Rfam family "Bacterial small subunit ribosomal RNA", at positions 29 to 506 of the family's 1533-position model. The record is from RNAcentral.